This 78-nucleotide microRNA precursor is filed under the name Schistosoma mansoni. RNAcentral's name for it is "mir-3492 microRNA precursor family". It matches the Rfam family "mir-3492 microRNA precursor family". The record is from Rfam by way of RNAcentral. Lineage: Eukaryota; Metazoa; Platyhelminthes; Trematoda; Strigeidida; Schistosomatidae.
AGCUUCCUGAAUCCGUGUAGAAAUUUUGUCAGACACCAACCCACUAGGGUUGACCUGACUUCCAAGAUAAGUGAAGUC